GCGGGGGUGCCCGAGAGGUCAAAGGGGUCGGGCUCAAGACCCGAUGGGCUCAGGCCCACCAGGGGUUCGAAUCCCCUCCCCCGCA
RNAcentral lists this transfer RNA (85 nucleotides) under Nanoarchaeota archaeon NZ13-N. RNAcentral's name for it is "tRNA-Leu". It matches the Rfam family "tRNA". From Rfam's summary of the family: Transfer RNA (tRNA) molecules are approximately 80 nucleotides in length. Their secondary structure includes four short double-helical elements and three loops (D, anti-codon, and T loops). Lineage: Archaea; Nanobdellati; Nanobdellota. RNAcentral also lists the same sequence under 1 other name. The record is from RNAcentral.